RNAcentral lists this ribosomal RNA (501 nucleotides) under uncultured bacterium. RNAcentral's name for it is "partial 16S ribosomal RNA". It matches the Rfam family "Bacterial small subunit ribosomal RNA", at positions 30 to 523 of the family's 1533-position model. The record is from RNAcentral.
AUUGAACGCUGGCGGCAGGCUUAACACAUGCAAGUCGAGCGGGGGAAGGUAGCUUGCUACCGGACCUAGCGGCGGACGGGUGAGUAAUGCUUAGGAAUCUGCCUAUUAGUGGGGGACAACAUCUCGAAAGGGAUGCUAAUACCGCAUACGUCCUACGGGAGAAAGCAGGGGAUCUUCGGACCUUGCGCUAAUAGAUGAGCCUAAGUCAUAUUAGCUAGUUGGUGAGGUAAAGGCCUACCAAGGCGACGAUCUGUAGCGGGUCUGAGAGGAUGAUCCGCCACACUGGGACUGAGACACGGCCCAGACUCCUACGGGAGGCAGCAGUGGGGAAUAUUGGACAAUGGGGGGAACCCUGAUCCAGCCAUGCCGCGUGUGCGAAGAAGGCCUUAUGGUUGUAAAGCACUUUAAGCGAGGAGGAGGCUACUUUAGUUAAUACCUAGAGAUAGUGGACGUUACUCGCAGAAUAAGCACCGGCUAACUCUGUGCCAGCCGCCGCGGUAA